This 347-nucleotide ribosomal RNA is filed under the name uncultured rumen bacterium. RNAcentral's name for it is "bacterial SSU rRNA". It matches the Rfam family "Bacterial small subunit ribosomal RNA", at positions 20 to 363 of the family's 1533-position model. The record is from RNAcentral.
UGGCUCAGGAUGAACGCUGGCGGCAGGCUUAACACAUGCAAGUCGAGGGGCAGCGUGGAGUAGCAAUACUCUGACGGCGACCGGCGAAAGGGUGAGUAACGCGUGAGCAACAUGCCCGUAGGUGGAGGAUAGUCGAUGGAAACGUCGUGUAAUACUCCGUAACAACAGAGACCGCAUGGUUUUUGUUUAAUAGAUUCAUUGCCUACGGAUUGGCUCGCGUACCAUUAGCUAGUUGGUGAGGUAACGGCCCACCAAGGCGACGAUGGUUAGGGGUUCUGAGAGGAAGGUCCCCCACAUUGGAACUGAGACACGGUCCAGACUCCUACGGGAGGCAGCAGUGGGGAAUA